AAAUUGGCUUUUAAUUGGAGUCUAGAAUGAAAGGGUGGUUUGGAAAGAAUCUGUCUUUUUUAAAUUGUUUAAAACUUUCUAAAAAGAUGAAAAGUUCUUUAUACUAUAUGUUAGACGAGAAGACCCUUAGAGUUUUUACUAAUUGUUAUUAAAAUUUAAUAUUUGUUUUUGUUGGGGCGACAUGGAAGCAAAUUAUAUAACCCUUCCGAUAUUUAUUUCUUUUGCCAGAUAAUAUCAAGAUUAAUUAAACUACCUAAGGGAUAACAGCAUAAUUUUAUUAUAAGAUUG
Molecule: ribosomal RNA, 288 nt
Filed under: Anthinus albolabiatus
Lineage: Eukaryota; Metazoa; Mollusca; Gastropoda; Stylommatophora; Strophocheilidae
Description: partial 16S ribosomal RNA
Source: RNAcentral